This is a non-coding RNA of Dermacentor albipictus, 612 nucleotides long. Lineage: Eukaryota; Metazoa; Arthropoda; Arachnida; Ixodida; Ixodidae. The record is from RefSeq and is a predicted model, not a curated record.
UUAACUUGGCGAUAUGACGUCAACUUAGUCAAACAACUUUGUGCGCCAACAGUGCAUCUGAGCAACUGGAACAGUACAUUAAAUAGGCGCUAUUAUAUGAACAAAAGAGAACAACCGCAAAAAGAAAAAAAACUACCGCUAGUUCUAACGUGGUCUUAUUCUUGUCCUCGUUCCCGCGCACUGUUUCUUCAUGCCUUCAAGACAAAAGAACUCUACCAAAUGAAGUUGUUGCUAGCACAACAAGAACUGCGUUUUAGAGCAACUGUUCUCUCUGUAGCACGCUUGUAGGUUCUUAUUUGAUUGCGGCAUCAGCCAAUCUCAUAAGAAAGCGUGGAAUCCUUUGACAGCCAUGAUGACACUGGUCACUAUUCUGUGCUUGGUCCUAUCGUGUCCUAUGGUUUAUACAUAUUCAGAAUGGUGUAACAAUGCGUACAAUAAUCGCCUGGAACGGGCCAUUGAUAGUGCGCUGCAUGACGUCCAAGAAGAGCACGUCUCAGAGAUGGAAGCUGAAGGCCCCGGCCCAUACCCUUUAGGCUUCGACGGAUACACUGUCAUCGGUCUUGGUGCACUGCGACGCCAUGGGGACCUCCGCACCAUGUGCGAAAACAAAAC